Molecule: ribosomal RNA, 404 nt
Filed under: bacterium
Lineage: Bacteria
Also listed under: 1 other name
Description: partial 16S ribosomal RNA
Rfam family: Bacterial small subunit ribosomal RNA
Source: RNAcentral
UGGGGAAUCUUAGACAAUGGGGGAAACCCUGAUCUAGCCAUGCCGCGUGAUCGAUGAAGGCCUUAGGGUUGUAAAGAUCUUUCAGUUGGGAAGAUAAUGACGGUACCAACAGAAGAAGCCCCGGCUAACUCCGUGCCAGCAGCCGCGGUAAUACGGAGGGGGCUAGCGUUAUUCGGAAUUACUGGGCGUAAAGCGCACGUAGGCGGAUCAGAAAGUCAGAGGUGAAAUCCCAGGGCUCAACCUUGGAACUGCCUUUGAAACUCCUGGUCUUGAGGUCGAGAGAGGUGAGUGGAAUUCCGAGUGUAGAGGUGAAAUUCGUAGAUAUUCGGAGGAACACCAGUGGCGAAGGCGGCUCACUGGCUCGAUACUGACGCUGAGGUGCGAAAGCGUGGGGAGCAAACAGG